Molecule: ribosomal RNA, 641 nt
Filed under: uncultured Actinomycetes bacterium
Lineage: Bacteria; Bacillati; Actinomycetota; Actinomycetes
Description: bacterial SSU rRNA
Rfam family: Bacterial small subunit ribosomal RNA
Source: RNAcentral
GCUGGCGGCGUCUUAACACAUGCAAGUCGAACGGUGAAAGCGGAGCUUGCUCCGCUGGAUCAGUGGCGAACGGGUGAGUAACACGUGGGCAACCUGCCCCAGACUUCGGGAUAACUCUUCGAGAGAGGCGCUAAUACCGGAUAUGAACUCUGCAGGCAUCUGCGGAGUUGGAAAGUUUUUCGGUCUGGGAUGGGCCCGCGGCCUAUCAGCUAGUUGGUGAGGUAGUGGCUCACCAAGGCGACGACGGGUAGCCGGCCUGAGAGGGCGACCGGCCACACUGGGACUGAGACACGGCCCAGACUCCUACGGGAGGCAGCAGUGGGGAAUAUUGCGCAAUGGGCGAAAGCCUGACGCAGCAACGCCGCGUGCGGGAUGAAGGCCUUCGGGUUGUAAACCGCUUUCAGCAGGGAAGAAGCGAAAGUGACGGUACCUGCAGAAGAAGCACCGGCUAACUACGUGCCAGCAGCCGCGGUAAUACGUAGGGUGCAAGCGUUGUCCGGAUUUAUUGGGCGUAAAGAGCUCGUAGGCGGUUAGUCGCGUCGGAUGUGAAAACCCAGUGCUUAACACUGGGCCUGCAUUCGAUACGGGCUGACUAGAGUGUUGUAGGGGAGACUGGAACUCCUGGUGUAGCGGUGAAAUGC